CCACCUGGUGAGGGAGGAAAGCCUGGAGAUCAGGGUGUUCCUGGAGAGGCUGGACUUGCUGGUGCCACUGGACCUAGAGGAGAACGUGGUUUUCCCGGCGAGAGAGGAGCCGCUGGCCCUCAGGGUCUGCAGGGACCCAGAGGUCUGCCUGGAACUCCUGGAACUGACGGACCCAAGGUGAGCC
Neolamprologus brichardi is the source of this 184-nucleotide non-coding RNA. The record is from RefSeq and is a predicted model, not a curated record. Lineage: Eukaryota; Metazoa; Chordata; Actinopteri; Cichliformes; Cichlidae.